CUCAACCGUCAACAGCUUGAUGAUUGAUUUUUGGGACAUAUUUUCUAACAACUCCCACUUGUCCUAAAGCCACUCGACACAGUAUCUAAUACCCAUCUUUGAUUUGUGGUUGUCAAACUCCUUUAUUGCUAGGGCUUUAAUGAAGGGGUCGACUAGGUUCUCCUUUCUGUCGAUCUUCUGAAGAUCGACAUCACCUCGAUCGACGAUCUCCCAGACC
RNAcentral lists this long non-coding RNA (217 nucleotides) under Elaeis guineensis (African oil palm). RNAcentral describes it as "long non-coding RNA (EGUI_LNC046347)". Lineage: Eukaryota; Viridiplantae; Streptophyta; Magnoliopsida; Arecales; Arecaceae. The record is from RNAcentral.